RNAcentral lists this ribosomal RNA (787 nucleotides) under Clostridioides difficile. Its description in RNAcentral is "partial 23S ribosomal RNA". It matches the Rfam family "Bacterial large subunit ribosomal RNA", at positions 1918 to 2703 of the family's 2925-position model. Lineage: Bacteria; Bacillati; Bacillota; Clostridia; Peptostreptococcales; Peptostreptococcaceae. RNAcentral also lists the same sequence under 1 other name. The record is from RNAcentral.
CCCCAGUAAACGGCGGCCGUAACUAUAACGGUCCUAAGGUAGCGAAAUUCCUUGUCGGGUAAGUUCCGACCCGCACGAAAGGCGUAACGAUUUGGGCACUGUCUCAACAACAGACUCGGUGAAAUUGUAAUUCCGGUGAAGAUGCCGGAUACCUGCGACAGGACGGAAAGACCCCAUGGAGCUUUACUGUAGCUUGACAUUGGGUCUUGGUACUACAUGUACAGGAUAGGUGGGAGGCUUUGAAACCAGGACGCCAGUUUUGGCGGAGCCAUCCUUGGGAUACCACCCUUGUAGUACUGGGACUCUAACCAUAGGCCAUGAAUCUGGUCUUGGGACACUGUCAGGUGGGCAGUUUGACUGGGGCGGUCGCCUCCCAAAAGGUAACGGAGGCGCUCAAAGGUUCUCUCAGUACGGUCGGAAAUCGUACGUAGAGUGUAAAGGCAAAAGAGAGCUUGAUUGCAAGACAUACAGGUCGAGCAAGGAUGAAAAUCGGACUUAGUGAUCCGGUGGUUCUGCGUGGAAGGGCCAUCGCUCAACGGAUAAAAGCUACCCUGGGGAUAACAGGCUUAUCUCCCCCAAGAGUCCACAUCGACGGGGAGGUUUGGCACCUCGAUGUCGGCUCAUCACAUCCUGGGGCUGUAGUAGGUCCCAAGGGUUGGGCUGUUCGCCCAUUAAAGUGGUACGCGAGCUGGGUUCAGAACGUCGUGAGACAGUUCGGUCCCUAUCCGUCGCAGGCGUAGGAAAUUUGAGAAGACCUGUCCUUAGUACGAGAGGACCGGGAUGGACG